RNAcentral lists this ribosomal RNA (497 nucleotides) under uncultured bacterium. RNAcentral describes it as "partial 16S ribosomal RNA". It matches the Rfam family "Bacterial small subunit ribosomal RNA", at positions 28 to 507 of the family's 1533-position model. The record is from RNAcentral.
GAUGAACGCUGGCGGCGUGCCUAAUACAUGCAAGUCGAGCGAACGGACGAGAAGCUUGCUUCUCUGAUGUUAGCGGCGGACGGGUGAGUAACACGUGGAUAACCUACCUAUAAGACUGGGAUAACUUCGGGAAACCGUAGCUAAUACCGGAUAAUAUUUUGAACCGCAUGGUUCAAAAGUGAAAGACGGUCUUGCUGUCACUUAUAGAUGGAUCCGCGCUGCAUUAGCUAGUUGGUAAGGUAACGGCUUACCAAGGCAACGAUGCAUAGCCGACCUGAGAGGGUGAUCGGCCACACUGGAACUGAGACACGGUCCAGACUCCUACGGGAGGCAGCAGUAGGGAGUCUUCCGCAAUGUGCGAAAGCCUGACGGAGCAACGCAGCGUGAGUGAUGAAGGUCUUCGGAUCGUAAAACUCUGUUAUUAGGGAAGAACAUAUGUGUAAGUAACUGUGCACAUCUUGACGGUACCUAAUCAGAAAGCCACGGCUAACUACGUG